RNAcentral lists this ribosomal RNA (798 nucleotides) under Salmonella enterica subsp. enterica serovar Oranienburg. RNAcentral describes it as "partial 23S ribosomal RNA". It matches the Rfam family "Bacterial large subunit ribosomal RNA", at positions 161 to 899 of the family's 2925-position model. The record is from RNAcentral. Lineage: Bacteria; Pseudomonadati; Pseudomonadota; Gammaproteobacteria; Enterobacterales; Enterobacteriaceae.
AAUCCAUAGGUUAAUGAGGCGAACCGGGGGAACUGAAACAUCUAAGUACCCCGAGGAAAAGAAAUCAACCGAGAUUCCCCCAGUAGCGGCGAGCGAACGGGGAGGAGCCCAGAGCCUGAAUCAGCAUGUGUGUUAGUGGAAGCGUCUGGAAAGGCGCGCGAUACAGGGUGACAGCCCCGUACACAAAAGCGCAUGUGCUGUGAGCUCGAUGAGUAGGGCGGGACACGUGGUAUCCUGUCUGAAUAUGGGGGGACCAUCCUCCAAGGCUAAAUACUCCUGACUGACCGAUAGUGAACCAGUACCGUGAGGGAAAGGCGAAAAGAACCCCGGCGAGGGGAGUGAAAAAGAACCUGAAACCGUGUACGUACAAGCAGUGGGAGCCCCACCACUAAGCCAGUGGUGAACUCCACAUACGCAUCCUUUGCUGAGGAUGCGGUUAACGGAGCGAAAGCGACGUUCAACCGCAAAAGAAGCAGAGGGGGCUUAGUGGUGGGGUGACUGCGUACCUUUUGUAUAAUGGGUCAGCGACUUAUAUUCUGUAGCAAGGUUAACCGAAUAGGGGAGCCGGAGGGAAACCGAGUCUUAAUUGGGCGUUAAGUUGCAGGGUAUAGACCCGAAACCCGGUGAUCUAGCCAUGGGCAGGUUGAAGGUUGGGUAACACUAACUGGAGGACCGAACCGACUAAUGUUGAAAAAUUAGCGGAUGACCUGUGGCUGGGGGUGAAAGGCCAAUCAAACCGGGAGAUAGCUGGUUCUCCCCGAAAGCUAUUUAGGUAGCGCCUCGUGAAUUCAUCUCCGG